ACGGGCUCUGGCGUUUCAAAAAAGGUCAGAUCGUGAAAUAGUUUCAGUCAGAGUUCAUUCCGUGAAAUACUUUCAUCCCAGGGUCAAAAUAGUGAAAAAAUCCGAAUUCGAGAGACUUUGGAGGACCGUGACGGCCCCUGGUUCCUGGAGGAUGGUCGGAAGCGGAGGGCACUGUCGAUACUAGCAAGAGAAGUGGAGGAGCCAACUUGAUCUGCUGUACGCUUACAAUUCAGGCUGAUGCUGCUUGCCCUGUUUCUCACCGAUGAUGCUUUCUUCUCCAUGCCUGCGAUUCUUCACCUCUUCCUCGUGCCGACCUUGGAGGUUCUUGCCGGCUUUCACCACCAUUGGCAGGAAACAUACUAUUGAUAGAAGCCGGAAAUAUGCUGCCUGCCUGGUUAGUUGCUUGUGCAAACAAGUUUUUUGUGUUUAUCUCAAUUUUGAACCUGACAAUUUUUAUUUCUAUAGUUCUAUGCACUUUUCAAAGAUUUGCCAUCUGAUGGAAUUCGAUUCCUACAUAGGUAGCUAUACUGGCAUUCAAGCUGGCCUUCCUUUAUUUGCAAUUUAUAUAAAUAAACGGUUUCGGCCGAUUGCUGAUUCGAAUGUCGAUUCCUUUCAGAGAACAAGCCGGCC
RNAcentral lists this long non-coding RNA (630 nucleotides) under Hordeum vulgare. RNAcentral's name for it is "long non-coding RNA (HVUL_LNC017338)". The record is from RNAcentral. Lineage: Eukaryota; Viridiplantae; Streptophyta; Magnoliopsida; Poales; Poaceae.